UCCAGACUGUGUGCAUCGAGUGCAAGGGC
RNAcentral lists this non-coding RNA (29 nucleotides) under Mus musculus (house mouse). The record is from RNAcentral. Lineage: Eukaryota; Metazoa; Chordata; Mammalia; Rodentia; Muridae.